RNAcentral lists this ribosomal RNA (888 nucleotides) under uncultured organism. RNAcentral's name for it is "bacterial SSU rRNA". It matches the Rfam family "Bacterial small subunit ribosomal RNA", at positions 25 to 925 of the family's 1533-position model. The record is from RNAcentral.
CAGGACGAACGCUGGCGGCGUGGUUNAGACAUGCAAGUCGAACGAGAGGCUCCCUUCGGGGAGUGGAGAGUGGCGCACGGGUGAGUAACACGUGAGCAACCUGCCGGGAAGCCCGGGAUAGCCCUCCGAAAGGAGGAUUAAUACCGGAUGUGGCCACCCUGCGAUUGCGGGGGAAGCUAAAGGAUUUAUUCACUUCCCGAGGGGCUCGCGGCCCAUCAGCUUGUUGGUGAGGGUAACGGCCCACCAAGGCGACAACGGGUAGCUGGUCUGAGAGGAUGGUCAGCCACACUGGAACUGAGACACGGUCCAGACACCUACGGGUGGCAGCAGUCGAGAAUCAUUCGCAAUGGGGGAAACCCUGACGAUGCGACGCCGCGUGGAGGAUGAAGGCCUUAGGGUUGUAAACUCCUGUCAAGAGGGAAUAAGCAAGUGAAGGUACCUCUAGAGGAAGGGGCGGCUAAUUCCGUGCCAGCAGCCGCGGUAACACGGAAGCCCCGAGCGUUGUUCGGAUUCAUUGGGCGUAAAGGGUGCGUAGGCGGCGCGGAAAGUCCGGCGUGAAAGGCAGAGGCUCAACCUCUGGACUGCGUUGGAUACUUCCGUGCUUGAGGACUGGAGGGGAGACUGGAAUUCACGGUGUAGCAGUGAAAUGCGUAGAUAUCGUGAGGAAGACCGGUGGCGAAGGCGAGUCUCUGGACAGAUCCUGACGCUGAGGCACGAAGGCUGGGGGAGCGAACAGGAUUAGAUACCCUGGUAGUCCCAGCAGUAAACGAUGUGAGCUUGAUGUGGGGGGAUUCGACCCCUUCCGUGUCGAAGCUAACGCGAUAAGCUCACCGCCUGAGGAGUACGGCCGCAAGGCUAAAACUCAAAGAAAUUGACGGGGGACCCGCA